Molecule: ribosomal RNA, 453 nt
Filed under: uncultured bacterium
Lineage: Bacteria
Description: bacterial SSU rRNA
Rfam family: Bacterial small subunit ribosomal RNA
Source: RNAcentral
GGACCCACACAAGCAGUGGAUCAUGUGGUUUAAUUCGACACAAAACGAGGAACCUUACCGAGGCUUGACAUCUCUGGAACCCUCCGGAAACGGAGGGGUGCCCGCAAGGGAGCCAGAAGACAGGUGUUGCAUGGUUGUCGUCAGCUCGUGCCUUGAGGUGUUCGGUUCAGUCCGUUAACGAGCGCAACCCAUAUGGCUAGUUACAUUGUCUAGUCAGACUGCCCUGGUAAACAGGGAGGAAGGUGUGGAUGACGUCAAAUCAGCAUGGCCCUUAUGCCUCGGGCCACACACAUGAUACAAUGGUUGGUACAAAGAGUAGCGAUACGGUAACGUGGAGCAAAUCUCAAAAAGCCAAUCCCAGUCCGGAUUGAGGUCUGCAACUCGACCUCAUGAAGUCGGAAUUGCUAGUAAUCGUGAAUCAGCUAUGUCACGGUGAAUAUGUUCCUGGGUCUU